GCUAAAAUUAAUUACAGAAAUCAAAGAGGGGCAGUGAAACUUAACUCUGUCCGGUGUCGAAGCCAAACUGUGUUAGGUACUCGGCCAUAGUACGCACUUUUCAGGACAUGGCCAACAAAUAUAGUUUUACUAUCCUACUUAUCUUUUGCCUGGCCGCACCAGCUAUCUCAGUCCACGCCUGCAAUCCACAACUCAAUGACUGUAGCAACUUCUCCAAAAGGCUUGAGGCAUUGAAGAAACGAAAUGUUGGCUGCCCUAAAAUUGCAGGCACAGUAUGCGACCCAGACCUUGCCAAUCCUUGUCCUUGCCCGAAGUAUGGUGCUACAUACUUAUGCGAGUGGGAGAUCAAAAGCCUCACGCCUUAUACGGGAAGAUAUGAAUGCGUCAGACAAUGUUUGGGCGAAUGUUGAUAGGACUGAACGGGAAAUUUAUGUUUUUUUGCGGCUACAUAUAGCGUGGUUAAUUACGUGGUUAAUUUUUCUGCAAAAUAGUUUCGAGAUUUUCAUUGGUGUUGUGUUCUGCUUUUUCUUGAUAUAUGUUUCUGUAAGUUGUUUUUUGUUUGUUUCAUAUUUUAAUCAUGAGAAAAAAGUUAUCGAAGGAAACCUUUGAAGGAAGUUUUGAGGGACAGUUAGGCCCAGUUCAGACACCGAACUUUUCAUGAGCCGAACCAAAUACAUUGAAUCAAGCACAUGAAAAGUUCGG
This 702-nucleotide unclassified non-coding RNA is filed under the name Orbicella faveolata. Its description in RNAcentral is "uncharacterized LOC110052173, transcript variant X8". Lineage: Eukaryota; Metazoa; Cnidaria; Anthozoa; Scleractinia; Merulinidae. The record is from RNAcentral.